RNAcentral lists this ribosomal RNA (512 nucleotides) under uncultured bacterium. RNAcentral describes it as "partial 16S ribosomal RNA". It matches the Rfam family "Bacterial small subunit ribosomal RNA", at positions 29 to 523 of the family's 1533-position model. The record is from RNAcentral.
AGUGAACGCUGGCGGCAGGCCUAACACAUGCAAGUCGAACGGCAGCAUUAAGAGAGCUUGCUCUCUUAGAUGGCGAGUGGCGGACGGGUGAGGAAUGCAUCGGAAUCUGCCCAUUUGUGGGGGAUAACGUAGGGAAACUUACGCUAAUACCGCAUACGACCUUCGGGUGAAAGCAGGGGAUCUCUUCGGAGACCUUGCGCGGAUGGAUGAGCCGAUGCCGGAUUAGCUAGUUGGAGAGGUAAAGGCUCACCAAGGCGACGAUCCGUAGCUGGUCUGGGAGGAUGAGCAGCCACACUGGGACUGAGUCACGGCCCAGACUCCUACGGGAGGCAGCAGUGGGGAAUAUUGGACAAUGGGCGCAAGCCUGAUCCAGCCAUGCCGCGUGUGUGAAGAAGGCCUUCGGGUUGUAAAGCACUUUUGUUGGGGAAGAAAAGCCAUGGGUUAAUACCCUGUGGUGAUGACGGUACCCAAAGAAUAAGCACCGGCUAACUUCGUGCCAGCAGCCGCCGUUC